RNAcentral lists this ribosomal RNA (468 nucleotides) under uncultured bacterium. RNAcentral's name for it is "partial 16S ribosomal RNA". It matches the Rfam family "Bacterial small subunit ribosomal RNA", at positions 28 to 507 of the family's 1533-position model. The record is from RNAcentral.
GACGAACGCUGGCGGCGUGCUUAACACAUGCAAGUCGAACGGAAAGGCCCUGCUCUUGUGGGGUGCUCGAGUGGCGAACGGGUGAGUGACACGUGAGUAUCCUGCCCUUGACUUUGGGAUAACUUCAGGAAACUGGGGCUAAUACCGGAUAGGAGCUCCUGCUCCACGGGGGGGGUUGGAAAGUUUCGGCGGUUGGGGCUGGAAUAGCGGCUUACGCGCUUGUUGGGGGGGUAGGGGAUUACCAAGGGUUUGACGGGUAGCCUGCCUGAGAGCUUGGCCGGGGUCCUUGGGCCUGCGGUAGGCCCCAGUCUCCAACGGGCGGCAGAGGUGGGGAGUAUUGCACAGUGGGCCGACGCCUGAUGCAGCAACGCUGCGUGCGGGAUGCCGGCCUUCGGGGUGUAAACCUCUGUCGCCGGUGACGAAGCGUGCGUGACGGUAACUGGUAAAGAAGCACCGGCUAACUACGUG